RNAcentral lists this ribosomal RNA (522 nucleotides) under Streptomyces albidoflavus. Its description in RNAcentral is "partial 23S ribosomal RNA". It matches the Rfam family "Bacterial large subunit ribosomal RNA", at positions 695 to 1215 of the family's 2925-position model. RNAcentral also lists the same sequence under 1 other name. The record is from RNAcentral. Lineage: Bacteria; Bacillati; Actinomycetota; Actinomycetes; Kitasatosporales; Streptomycetaceae.
UUGAGUUGCACGCUCUAGACCCGAAGCGGAGUGAUCUAGCCAUGGGCAGGUUGAAGCGGCUGUAAGAGGUCGUGGAGGACCGAACCCACCAGGGUUGAAAACCUGGGGGAUGACCUGUGGUUAGGGGUGAAAGGCCAAUCAAACUCCGUGAUAGCUGGUUCUCCCCGAAAUGCAUUUAGGUGCAGCGUCGUGUGUUUCUUGCCGGAGGUAGAGCACUGGAUAGGCGAUGGGCCCUACCGGGUUACUGACCUUAGCCAAACUCCGAAUGCCGGUAAGUGAGAGCGCGGCAGUGAGACUGUGGGGGAUAAGCUCCAUGGUCGAGAGGGAAACAGCCCAGAGCAUCGACUAAGGCCCCUAAGCGUACGCUAAGUGGGAAAGGAUGUGGAGUCGCAGAGACAACCAGGAGGUUGGCUUAGAAGCAGCCACCCUUGAAAGAGUGCGUAAUAGCUCACUGGUCUAGUGAUUCCGCGCCGACAAUGUAGCGGGGCUCAAGCGUACCGCCGAAGUCGUGUCAUUGCAGCA